This 789-nucleotide long non-coding RNA is filed under the name Coturnix japonica (Japanese quail). RNAcentral's name for it is "lncRNA (ENSCJPG00005007138.1)". The record is from RNAcentral. Lineage: Eukaryota; Metazoa; Chordata; Aves; Galliformes; Phasianidae.
GAGAUGAUAAAGCUUUAUAAUUGCUCUGUCUUCCCCCACCCCCUCCCUUCUUUGUCUCUUUUCUUUUUUGUUGUCGUUGCCUCUUUUUCUCACUCCACAUGGGAUCACAGUGCUACACAAUACUACCCUGUUACUAGAGAUUGAUGGGCUAACUCAGCAUAAAUGGAGGCUGACCUCAAAUGCACACAGUAACAACUGAAGUACCUUCAUGUCCACCCCCAGUCAGAGGUCUCUGAGUAUUGGGAUUUGAACAAAUGCACCCCUCUCUUCUCCAGGUCUUCUCUUUUCUCUGAACUUCAUAGGAAUGUGCUGAUAAGAUGGCUCCACAGGAUCAGGCUAGAAUCUGUAUGACUGGAACCUAAUUCAAGGACAUCAAGAUUUGGAGAUACUAUCCUGCUGAUAUCAUUGAUCACCUAUUGAUUAGGAGCGACUGACAAAGAAGAUAGACCAUGGGGCUCACCGAGGCAGGCAAUGAGGUUUUAAUACACAUCCAAGCUCCAGGUGUAGUUGUUGUCUUCAGAAAUGUAGAGAGGCUCCAACAUUUGGGCAGAGAAGAUGAACUCUGCAGAAGGUUUCUUGGUGACUCAUCUCAUCCCACAGUGAAAAUAAAGGCAGAAUUCAGAAUGGCUGUUGCAGGCUUUUUGACCAUGGGAAGGACAAAUCCUGCUGAAUAUCAUCAGAGGAAAAGAACUUAAAUGAAGUUUAACUGAAGUAUGUGGUGCGGUUGCUAUAGCAAAAGUGAUGGAAGCCUCCUUGCUUUGGCUGUUGAGAGCAAGGCUGACAAAUGCA